Molecule: small nucleolar RNA, 77 nt
Filed under: Sinocyclocheilus anshuiensis
Lineage: Eukaryota; Metazoa; Chordata; Actinopteri; Cypriniformes; Cyprinidae
Description: Small nucleolar RNA SNORD83 (ENSSANG00000050181.1)
Rfam family: Small nucleolar RNA SNORD83
About the family: U83 (SNORD83) and U84 (SNORD84) are members of the C/D class of snoRNA which contain the C (UGAUGA) and D (CUGA) box motifs. They act as guanine methylation guides but lack complementarity to ribosomal RNA.
Source: Rfam by way of RNAcentral
GCCACAUGAUGUGAUGUAGAUUGCAUUAGCACUCUGUGCAAAGAUGACCUGCGGUCUAUCACCCAUGACUGAUGGCU